UACGGAGGGUGCAAGCGUUGCUCGGCGUCACUGGGCGUAAAGCGUACGCCGGCGGCUCGAUAAGUCGGGUGUGAAAGCCCGGGGCUCAACCCCGGAAUUGCGCCCGAUACUGCCGGGCUGGAGUACGGGAGAGGGAUGGCGGAAUUCCUGGUGUAGAGGUGAAAUUCGUAGAUAUCAGGAGGAACACCAGUGGCGAAAGCGGCUUCCUGGCCCGAUACUGACGCUGAUGUGCGAAAGCUUGAGGAGCAAACAGU
This 254-nucleotide ribosomal RNA is filed under the name uncultured bacterium. RNAcentral's name for it is "partial 16S ribosomal RNA". It matches the Rfam family "Bacterial small subunit ribosomal RNA", at positions 524 to 776 of the family's 1533-position model. The record is from RNAcentral.